AAAGACAAAACAAAACCACUCAUUUUGUUGCAGUCCCAAAAUCAACGGACCACUCUUCUCCUCUUUCUAUCUCUCUCUUUUCUUUCUUUUUCUUCUUCUUUCUUUCUCCUCUUUCUUCUCUUCAUCACCAUAACCGAACCGCCUCCUUCUCCCUGCUCAAACACUUAUGUUUCUUCACCAAAAUAAGAUAUUAUGGAGAAUUAAAGGCAUAUACCACGCUUUUGAAGUUUAUUUUGUAAGAUCGAACAUUUAAGAAGGGAGAGACCUCCAAAUCCAAGGGAAAGGAGCAAAUUGGAGCAUAAAAAGAUUGAGGCUCAUUGGGUUAGGAUGUCUGUGUCAGGCUCCUAAGACACUGUGGACGAGGAGGCAGAGAGCUAUGAUCCACCCAUUCCUCCUGUUGCACAUGUUGCUACUGUUCCUAUUGGUUCGACUGAUCGCCGUGCUCCCAGAUAUGGUUAGGAUGCAUUCCUCCAACAGAUGGCUGACAUACUGAGGCAGGCUGUUGGUGCAGCUCCUCCAGUUUAUGUUCCUGCUCCCAAGCCACCGAUUGAGAGGUUGAGGAAAUAUGGGGUUGUCGAGUUCAAAAGCCGAAAGUCAAAUGAUGCGUCUGUUGCAGGGUACUGGUUAGAGAGUACUGAGCGAAUCUUCAAGCAAAUGUAGUGUAUUCCUGCUGAUUGCCUGAUAUGUGGAGUAUCUUUGCAUAAGGAGGAAGCGUACCAAUGGUGGGAUACAGUUUCCCAAUCUGUUGAUGUCCAUAGAAGGACAUGAGACUUCUUUCUAUCUGAGUUCAGGAAGAAGUAUGUUGGAGAUUUAUAUGUGGAGCAGAGGAAGACUGAGUUCAUGGAGCUUCGACAGGGUAGGAUGACUGUUUCAGAGUAUGAGAGAGAAUUUGUCAGACUGAGUAGGUAUGCUAGAGAGUUGGUGUCCUAUGAGGAGGAGAGUUGCAAGAAGUUUAGGAAAGGCUUGCACGACGUUUGAGGAUGCAUUUGGUAGCUCACCAUCACACUGAGUUUUCUACUCUAGUAUUUGCUACACUGGAACUCGAGGAGGUUAGGACUGACCAGCAAAAUAGGAGAUCUAGAUCCCAGUAGUUCAAGAGACCUCAGAGUCAGUCAGGUAGUUGAUUUCAUAGCCAAUUGGAGGAUAAGAUGCAGAGGUCACUUCAGCCAUUAGGGUGUAGCCCGACAGAGGUCACGGAUAUGAAACUUCAUCUUUUAGAUCUGCUGUGCAAUCGACUUCUGUAGCCAGUACCGGAGGGUCUGGUCGGAGUGAGUAUCCUACAUGUGCCCAUUGUGGUAAGAGACAUACAGGUGAGUGUCGUAGAGUCACAGGUGCUUGUUUCAAAUAUGGUUCUAUAGAUAAUCUAUUCAGAGAUUGUCCAAUGGACUCUACUACCACAGUUCUGCCUCGGUCAGAGAGGUAUGCUCCAGCUGCAUCUAGAGGCAGAGGUGGAGGUCGUACAAACUCAGUGGGUACAGUUGGGCAGAGAUUAUCAAAUUAAAUUGAUGGAAUUAAUAAUGUAUUUAGAAAAUUAAUUUAUUAAACUAAUUUAAUUAGAUUUAUUUGUAACU
This is a long non-coding RNA of Jatropha curcas, 1571 nucleotides long. RefSeq lists it as uncharacterized. The record is from RefSeq and is a predicted model, not a curated record. Lineage: Eukaryota; Viridiplantae; Streptophyta; Magnoliopsida; Malpighiales; Euphorbiaceae.